CUACGGGCCGCUGCAGUGGGGAAUUUUGGACAAUGGGGGCAACCCUGAUCCAGCCAUGCCGCGUGAGUGAAGAAGGCCUUCGGGUUGUAAAGCUCUUUCAGCCGGGAAGAAAUCGCAUGGGUUAAUACCCUGUGCGGAUGACGGUACCGGAAUAAGAAGCACCGGCUAACUACGUGCCAGCAGCCGCGGUAAUACGUAGGGUGCGAGCGUUAAUCGGAAUUACUGGGCGUAAAGCGUGCGCAGGCGGAUGCUUAAGUCAGAUGUGAAAUCCCCGGGCUUAACCUGGGAAUUGCAUUUGAAACUGGGUGUCUAGAGUGCGUCAGAGGGGGGUGGAAUUCCACGUGUAGCAGUGAAAUGCGUAGAUAUGUGGAGGAACACCAAUGGCGAAGGCAGCCCCCUGGGAUGACACUGACGCUCAUGCACGAAAGCGUGGGGAGCAAACAGGAUUAGAUACCCCCGAGUC
RNAcentral lists this ribosomal RNA (463 nucleotides) under uncultured bacterium. RNAcentral describes it as "partial 16S ribosomal RNA". It matches the Rfam family "Bacterial small subunit ribosomal RNA", at positions 339 to 795 of the family's 1533-position model. The record is from RNAcentral.